Molecule: small nuclear RNA, 104 nt
Filed under: Myotis brandtii (Brandt's bat)
Lineage: Eukaryota; Metazoa; Chordata; Mammalia; Chiroptera; Vespertilionidae
Source: RNAcentral
GUGCUCACUUCGGCAGUACAUAUACUAAAAUUGGAACGAUACAGAGAUUAGCAUUGCCUCUGAGCAAGGAUGACACACAAAUUUGUGAAACACUCCAUAUUAAA